CCCACUAAAAAGGAAUUCAAUGAACACAUUGUAUUUAUAUCAACAAUAAUCAGUUAUAAGUGAAGAAAUAUAUUUUAUACCCAUGUAUAUUCACUGACAAGGAAAAUUUGUAAAAUGACAUUAUUUAAAUGCAGUGUUAAACUGCAAGCUACUGCUCACUGAUGAUACCCCUGCUGCAAGUGGAUAAUAUUAAUAGUGUAAAAAUAUGCAAGUGUUCGGUAAACAGGAAGUUGUCAAGUGAUGAAUCUGAAAACGCAUCAUACAGUAUAGCUGACUUAUAUUUAACCCUGAAACCAAAUUUCAGAAAUCCUUGUAUCGUAGUUCCUGAGAAAAUUGUGACGAAAAUUUUCAACUUGGCUAUCAUGUGUAAAAUCAUACAAGUGUUCGGUAAACAGGAAGUUGUCAAGUGAUGAAUCUGAAAACGCAUCACACGGUAUAGCUGACUUAUAUAAAACCUGAAACCAAAUUUCAGAAAUCCUUGUAUUGUAGUUCCUGAGAAAUUGUGACGAAAUUUUCAGCUUGGCUAUCAUUUUUAAAAUCAUACAAGUGUUCGGUAAACAGGAAGUUGUCAAGUGAUAAAUCUGAAAACGCAUCACACGGUAUAGCUGACUUAUAUAAACCCUGAAACCAAAUUUCAUAAAUCCUUGUAUUGUAGUUCCUGAGAAAAUUGUGAAGAAAAUUUUCAAAUUGGCUAUCAUGUGUAAAAUCAUACAAGUGUUCAGUAAACAAGAAGUUGUCAAGUGAUGAAUCUGAAAACGCAUCACACAGUAUAGCUGACUUAUAUUUAACCCUGAAACCAAAUUUCAGAAAUCCUUGUAUUGUAGUUCCUGAGAAAAUUGUGACGAAAUUUUCAACUUGGCUAUCAUGUGUAAAAUCAUACAAGUGUUCGGUAAACAGGAAGUUGUCAAGUGAUGAAUCUGAAAACACAUCACAUGGUAUAGCUGACUUAUAUAAACCCUGAAACUAAAUUUCAGAAAUCCUUGUAUUGUAGUUCCUCAGAAAAAUGUGACGAAAAAUAUUCAUGAGACAGACGGACGGACUGACUGAUGGACUGACGGAUGGAUGGAUGGAUGGAUGGAAGGACAGACAGAGGUAAAACAGUAUACCCCCCUUUUUUCAAAAGUGGGGGUAUAAAUACAUUUUCAUUUGGAUAUUUGAAGUUCUGAAAAUUGAAUUAAUUUUGAAAUACUUUAGUUUUUAGAGCCAAUUUGACUCUUAAACUGAUCUUCACCAAAAUAUACGGUAAAAUUCUAACAUUUUUCUUCAUUACAAGAAAGUGUCCAUCAAUGUGUAUCAGUACUAGUAUUUUCAUAAGAAUGUGUAUGAAAUUAGUG
RNAcentral lists this long non-coding RNA (1334 nucleotides) under Mytilus galloprovincialis (Mediterranean mussel). The record is from RNAcentral. Lineage: Eukaryota; Metazoa; Mollusca; Bivalvia; Mytilida; Mytilidae.